UGACUCUCCCCGGCGUGCACGCAGUCUGUUUAACAGACUUUCGGCUGGACAUUUGGCACGCGCUAAUCCGCCUCGCGCUCCGCUACGCACUGAGAAGAAUGGAGACGUCGCACCACGUAAAAAAGAAAAGAAAAAACCCCAACGUGACCCGCAUGAGCCGCGGGCAACACAGCGGCUGCUUCUCCUCGCGCUGCAGCAUCCGACCCUGCGCUGCUGCGCGCGGCUCUUUGAACGUCUCCAUUUCGCACAAACCGUUUUCACUUUUACGCAUACUCGUCUCUGCUGACGGCUAAAACGGAGUCUUUUCUGGCGCCGCGAGGACCCGACGGUGCAGCCGUGGGGAGACCGGGGGAGGACGGAGCGAGCUGAGAGGAAGGAAGCGUGGAGCUGUGGCGUGAAGUCACACAGAAAUACACACACACACGCGCGUGGUCUGAACCUGCACGACAACGGGUCAGAAGAAGCGCACAUGGCCGCCUGCUCUGAGGGUCAGAGGUCACCGUCUGAAUCAGAACAAGACGUCGUCACUCCGAAGAUACAGAAGGAAGACGAGGAGGAGGAGGAGGAGGAAAUCGAGAAGCAGAGUGGGUGGAGGGAUGCAAGGAGAGCGGGGUGGAAGCAGUUCGAGGAGGUGGUUCCGAGCGGGUGAACCCGGAGCAGGUGAACACAGCUGUGGAUCGCCGGGGGCUCUCUGGCUGCCCUCCUCCUGUGGCCCCGGCGCUGCUUUGCGAGGGGGAGGGGGAGGGGUGUCCCGGGGAGCCCCGGCAGGGGCCAGCCGGAGCCGCGGCGAGAGAGAGUGGGCAGGCUGGGCCAGCCCGAGCCGGGAGAGAGGCAGGUGAGGCGGGUGAGCCGGGGCCCUCGUCCCCGCCGGCUAUAGGAGCCUCUCCGCGGCGGCGGAAAUCGAUGCGGGAGGAGAGAGGCGAGCAGAGGUUGCUCAGCAGCGCCUGCGGGCCCCGGAGCCCAGGGACCGGGGGGAAAAGCACCGCCGCUCGCAGCUUUUUUUUUUUUUUUUACCGAGCCGUCCCGGCACCAGCCGGGGCCGAGGCCCCUCGCCGCCCGGCGCAGAGCGUGCGUGCCAGGAGGCUCACAUGAGGAGACGGAGAGAGAGAGAGAGAGAGAGAGAGAGAGAGAGGGAGUCUUUGUGUGUGGUUCAGCCGGAGGGUUUUUUCCUUCUUCUUCUUUUUUUUUUCCUCGCCGCGUCCGAGCACCACUUGAUAAAACUUUGUCAGAGAGACACGGAGACGGCGAGGAGGGGAGAAUGAGACAGGACGCCGAAGGUCGCUUUUCUUCCGGCUCCCUUCCCCCCCCCCCCACCCCCUCAUUGCUCAUUCCACCUCAAACCGCUCGACAAAGGAGCCACCGGAGGGAGACGGCACGCGGGACGUCCUCGGCUCGUUCCCGCUUGCCGAGCGCGAUAUUUCCUCAGAUCUGACGCGCCCGGAUGAAAGGACGAUUUGAACUUUUUCCUCUCAUCGCCGGUAUCAGACACAGCCUGUCUCUUCGCCUUAGAUUUUCUCACCCUCGAUACGGCAGCUCCCAUCAGAGGAUAUGGCAGAGCGGUAUUGAUCCACAGGGUGGAAGAAGGUCCCCCCCCUCUCCCUCUCUCUCUCUCUCUCUCUCUCUCUCUCUCUCUCUCUUUCUCUCUCUCUCGAUGUGGGUGGAAAUAGCACCUGAAGUCCACUUACUGCUGUGCAGCUGGGAUCCCAUGAAAGCACAAGUGAAUGGCUGCUAAUUGAAUGAGAGAUGAAAAGGACAGUGGUUGUUGUACCUGCUCCCCCCCCCCCCACCAGCCCCUAGCCCCCCCCCCUUCCAAAGUCACAAAGAAGCUUCGCCUUUCAGAUGUUUUAUAAAAAUUGGCGGUGGCUAAAGAAAAAGUUG
Molecule: non-coding RNA, 1878 nt
Organism: Gasterosteus aculeatus aculeatus (three-spined stickleback)
Lineage: Eukaryota; Metazoa; Chordata; Actinopteri; Perciformes; Gasterosteidae
Source: RefSeq, a predicted model, not a curated record